This is a long non-coding RNA of Cuculus canorus (common cuckoo), 493 nucleotides long. RefSeq lists it as uncharacterized. The transcript is spliced from 4 exons. The record is from RefSeq and is a predicted model, not a curated record. NCBI's taxonomy places the organism in Eukaryota, Metazoa, Chordata, Aves, Cuculiformes, Cuculidae.
CUUUUACAUUUCUUUCAGCACAGUGUUCUCGGUUUCCUGUAUCUCAGCACUGUGCUGGUAAAAAGCUGGUACACGACAUUCCAUCAAUUCAACUUCAGCAGGAAGCACAGAAAUUUCAGGAGAAGGAGGUGGCAUUUACAGAGGAAGAAAAAGGAAGUUCACUAGAAGGAAUCGCUAAACCGAGAUAACGAUCUUCUAACUCAGCAGCAUGAAAUGUGAGCAUUGGAACUAUAGAAUACACAGACAAUCUCCAGACACGGAUAAACACCCCGAAAGAAUAAACGCCCUGAAAGAAUGAACACUCUGAGUUGCAAGAAUUUAUUGAUAUGCUUAGUUGUCUUGUGAGAUGUAGCUGGUUUAGGAGAAGACAACCAGACAUGGCUGGAUAACCUAGAAAAACAUUCUUUGAGGACUUACACAGUUCUUUGUCUAAAACUAGUACGUGUACCCACUGCUUUUGUAUGACGGGAUGCCUUUUUGGAAGGGCAUCCGA